UGCGCAUGGCAAAUUAAGCCACCGACAAACCUAAAUGUUAUUUGUUUGCAUUUUUCCUGUGACAGUUAUUUAUCUACUAGUAUUAUUCACUACUUGAUGAAAGCGUUUUCUGUCUCAAUUAUACAAAUUUUUCGGUGAAUGCUUAUCUGUGAUACGCUGUUACGCUGUUUUCUAACGACAGCAGAUUUACCUGCAAAUGUUUCCAAUCUACCUAUACUCAUUAUGCGUAUAAUACAUACGUAGCUCAGCGGUGUGUAUUAUAAACUAGCGCUGUAUGUUUUCAAGAAUGAUAAUUAUGUAACCUUUUCUUCCGAUCCUUGAGAUAAAAACAUUCUUUAAAAAAUUACUGUAAAACGAUUAAACAAAACACGUUUGUUCAACCUACUCGUGUCUUAUAUUUGGAAACAAUAAUAACGAUUCAGUCGUUCGAUUUGCAAAGCAACUGCAUAAUUGAACAUAGGAGACGACAUCAUAAAAAUUUGAUUAUCCAUAUUUGUCACUGAAGUGUAAUAUUGGGUUUUUAAUUGCAUUUUCUCAGGCGUUAUCGAGAAUUACAAUUCUUCAGAAUGAAAUGAGAAUAAAAAAUACCGCCAUAUUGAUAAAAUUGGACUACUAAAUUCGAUAUCAAUGAAAGAUGAACAGAUAUCUCUGUUACCCGCAUUAUGAUUCAUUUAUAGAGGAUUAACUGAUCAAGAUUAGCUUUCCUAGUCAUUGGGGGGUCGGGCGUUUGCCUGUACCCCCCACUAAUGAUAUUUUAGCUACGAUUAGUAUGUUUGAACAAAUAAAAACCGAACCGAUGGGAUUCUAUACCGCAUAUCCACCACCCCAGGACACCCAAGCACCAAUUACUGCAUCCAAUCGCAUCGAGCAAAAUCAGCAAACAAUAAUAGCUGUAAAUGAAUGCAAGUCAACUGAAAAUAACAAUACUUCAGUAGUAUCUACACAAACAGCAACUAGUCAUUCCAUCACACAAGGCCGGAACAAACGGCAAACCUGCAAAACAUGCGGAAAGACUUUAUCUUCUCCUAGCAGUUAUUAUGUACACAUGAAAUUACAUUCGGGAACAAAACCUUUUACGUGCACCGGACGAACGUGAAAGAUGACAGUCAAAACAGGAGCUACAACGGUUAAACAAACGGCACAUACUAGUCACAGGUUCAUGGUAUCCGUAAUUUGUUCGUGUUGAGGAGAUGUAGAGAAAAUGACGAGAACGCAAGUUACGACGAUUAACAUUAAAGUUGAUUAACCGGAGAAGCUCAGGACAGUCGAUUCUAGCGGUAAUUAAGUCCGAAGUAAAUAGGGCCUUGGCAACGUUUCUCCGUGAAACUAAUGAGUUAAUCCCUAUUAGUUUGCAUCGAUCCUCGUAGCUAGGAAGAUUUAUUGGGUCAUUCCAUGGUAAAUUGCGUAGUGCGAAUCGGAUGAAUUUCCGCUGGAUCGACUCAAUUCGAUGAACACUAUUCUGGUAGUACGGCGACCACACCACACAAGCAUACUCUAGAAUCGAGCGAACCAACGAGCAAUAGAGAGUCUUGAUACAGUGCACGUCCUUGAAUCGCUUUGUGACGCGGAAGAUAAAUCCAAGUGUUCUGGAUGCUUUAGCGAUGAUAUAGGAUACGUGGUCGCGAAAGCUUAUAUUCGAAGAUUAUCGACGAACGCUUGCGUGAGAACGAUAUUACCGAACACUUUGAUGGAUUCAAAAGCAUCCUGUUGUUUGCACACCAUUCGGCGAAGAUGUUGAGUUGCUGUUGUAAAAUCUCAGCAUCUCCGAUGCAGUUUACUGGGAGGAACAAUUUGAAGUCAUCUGCAU
Toxorhynchites rutilus septentrionalis is the source of this 1807-nucleotide long non-coding RNA. RefSeq lists it as uncharacterized. The record is from RefSeq and is a predicted model, not a curated record. The transcript has 6 exons. Lineage: Eukaryota; Metazoa; Arthropoda; Insecta; Diptera; Culicidae.